This 253-nucleotide ribosomal RNA is filed under the name uncultured bacterium. Its description in RNAcentral is "partial 16S ribosomal RNA". It matches the Rfam family "Bacterial small subunit ribosomal RNA", at positions 524 to 776 of the family's 1533-position model. The record is from RNAcentral.
GACGUAGGGCGCGAGCGUUGUCCGGAUUUAUUGGGCGUAAAGAGCUCGUAGGCGGCUUGUCGCGUCGACCGUGAAAACUUGGGGCUCAACCCCAAGCCUGCGGUCGAUACGGGCAGGCUAGAGUUCGGUAGGGGAGAUCGGAAUUCCUGGUGUAGCGGUGAAAUGCGCAGAUAUCAGGAGGAACACCGGUGGCGAAGGCGGAUCUCUGGGCCUUACCUGACGCUGAGGCGCGAAAGCUAGGGGAGCGAACAGG